GCCUCCCUUGUCCAAUCGGCAGGGGAGGGCUCUCUAUUUUGUUCUAGUAAAAAGAUGGGUAACCUCCCCAUCUCAAUCUAGUGUGGUAUUACUGUUGUUUUGUGUUUAUAGUUUUGUUGAUCUUGGAGCUUCAAGGUGAAGGUUUUAAGUAGAAAAUCAAUGCACAGGAGCUAGGUUGUUGAAGCUCUAUUGGGUUUGUAAAUAUUUUGGGUCUAAGAAGCUGCUGCUUCAAGGUGGGGAGAGGUUCAUGCAUGUCAAGGAUGAUGGUAUCUCUAGGGCUAAAGCCUUCCAUUCCUGCUGAAGGUGUUCCCCUAAUGCUAAGAGAGGCAGGUGAGCUCUACCUUGUCACUCUUUACUGUUGAUGGUGGCUCUAUGUUGGGGAAGACAGGAGGCUUGGUUCUGUUUGGUUUUGGAACUCCUAUGAUCAUCCUUGUGUGCUCUUUGAGCUGUUGGUCAAAGCUACCUUUUUAAUCCCAAUCGGUGGUCUUGCUUGGUGAGAAGAGAGGUACGGCAUCACUUAUGGUUGGGUGGUUCACGGCAUCACUUGGAGUCUGGCGGUGUAGUGAAGAGGUGGUUGUGUCUUCAACUUUUUGCUUAAGUUUAUUAUUUGGG
RNAcentral lists this unclassified non-coding RNA (612 nucleotides) under Hevea brasiliensis (rubber tree). The record is from RNAcentral. Lineage: Eukaryota; Viridiplantae; Streptophyta; Magnoliopsida; Malpighiales; Euphorbiaceae.